RNAcentral lists this transfer RNA (104 nucleotides) under Pteropus alecto (black flying fox). It matches the Rfam family "tRNA". Rfam says of the family: Transfer RNA (tRNA) molecules are approximately 80 nucleotides in length. Their secondary structure includes four short double-helical elements and three loops (D, anti-codon, and T loops). Lineage: Eukaryota; Metazoa; Chordata; Mammalia; Chiroptera; Pteropodidae. The record is from Rfam by way of RNAcentral.
GUCAGGAUGGCCGAGUGGUCUAAGGCGCCAGACUCAAGGUCUCCCUUGCCUACGGGCUUUCUGGUCUCCGAAUGGAGGCGUGGGUUCGAAUCCCACUUCUGACA